Molecule: unclassified non-coding RNA, 1491 nt
Filed under: Cotesia glomerata
Lineage: Eukaryota; Metazoa; Arthropoda; Insecta; Hymenoptera; Braconidae
Description: dynein axonemal assembly factor 6, transcript variant X2
Source: RNAcentral
UUGCUAUGGAGACCCAUUUUGUUGAUUUAUAACCUGGAAUCAUAAAAGUGAUUAUUUUGAAUGAAAUUUAUGUACUAAAAUUUAUGUAAUAUUACUUGAGUGGCAAAAUGGAUGGAAUCAUGGGUUACAAUGAUUUAAAAGCGCUUCAAGCUUUAAUUAAUCCCAAUAAUUCUGAUUCUGAAGAUGAGGAUCUUUCGCAGAAAGGAUUACGUAAACUAGGUCCUGGUGACGUCGGUGGCUUGAAAGAGUCAUCAGAGCCAAAUCCCGGGCCAAACGUUCCAUUAAACCUAGAAAGCGACGAUAUUUGGGAUUCUUCAGAAGUAACAACAACUUCAACUGAACUUUUAGACCCUAGACAAGUGCCAGAAUAUGAAAUGAAGUUCAAACAAGCUGUCACUACUGAAGAUGUUUUUCUAGGGAUGGGUUUCAAAACUCCAGGAUCAGCCUCUUGUGAAUGGAUAACACUUUCGAUAAAACUACCGAGCGAGUCGAUGAAAAAUAUUGAGCUUACUGUCGAAUCAGAUUUAGUAGACGUACGGAGCCCUAAGUACCGAUUGUAUUUGCCGACUCCUCACUCUAUUGAUCCGAACAAUUCGUCAGCCAAGUGGCUCAAUGAUAAGGAUACACUUGAGCUUACAUUGAAACUUGUCCGUGAAUUGGACGGAAUUAAUUUUUAAAGUUUUAUUUUACUCCAAUAUUUACUCCAAAAAAACACGAUAAAAAUAAAAACAAAUAAAAUUAAUUAAGUAGAUCAUUAAUUUAUUACAUAAUGAUAAUCAUAAUACUAUUUUUAAUGAAACUCGUAAAUUAAACGAUGUGUUAAUAAUUUUAAUAAAUUCUUCGUAUAUUAUCAGUAGUAUCACGUUUAUUUUAAUUACACAAACUGAAUAGACGGGGACACAACGCGGAAAAAAGAAGGAAAACAAAUAUCCAAUUAAGUUAAAUUGAUUUAAAUUUAAUACAGCUAAAUUUAAUUAAAUUUAAUAAUAAGUUGAGGAAAAUUAAAUUACAUUUUUAAAAUAAAAAUGACUGGCUUUUGUUUCUAAGUUGUUGAAGCUGGAUGGACUAUUUUUAGAUAUUUUUAAAAAUUUUUACCUUGUUACGAAUUUAAAUUCACAAUGUUGUUGGAUAAAAUAGCAGAUAAAUGUAUUUAUAUUGAAAUAGAGUGUAGUGUGUCAGAAGGACGCUCUGGAUUUCUUUUUUACUGAAAAUUGAUAAAAAAAACAUUCUAUUAAUCUAAUUGUUAAAAAACAAAUCCUGUGAAAAAGUAUACACCGAAGAGGAUAAUUGGAAAUUGGAGAGAGCUAUUGGACAGGAAAUUUAAUUUUCCAAAAAUUUUGUCUCUCGUAAAAAUUCAAUAGGAUCUGUAGUUUAAAAGUUACAGCUGCUUUGGGAAUCGUACAGUGCGAAUGUGCGGAUGUACGAACUGUAAAUAUCUCGGAAACUACACUGAUAGAAGGAUUUGUUUAUAUUUAAUAAGCUUUAUUAUCU